GUUGCUUCCUAAUGGUGAUCUCCCUUAAAUGAAAUGAUGAGGGAUGAUUCAAGUUUCCGAAGCAUAAAUAUGUGGUCAGUGUUAAACAGCGCCGGUGCGAUUUACUUCGUGCUGCACUGGCGCUACCUGUCUGCUGAUAUAUUU
Molecule: non-coding RNA, 144 nt
Organism: Eucalyptus grandis
Lineage: Eukaryota; Viridiplantae; Streptophyta; Magnoliopsida; Myrtales; Myrtaceae
Source: Rfam